RNAcentral lists this ribosomal RNA (253 nucleotides) under uncultured bacterium. RNAcentral describes it as "partial 16S ribosomal RNA". It matches the Rfam family "Bacterial small subunit ribosomal RNA", at positions 524 to 776 of the family's 1533-position model. The record is from RNAcentral.
GACGUAGGGCGCGAGCGUUGUCCGGAUUUAUUGGGCGUAAAGAGCUCGUAGGCGGUUUGUCGCGUCGGGAGUGAAAACCCAGGGCUUAACUCUGGGCUUGCUUUCGAUACGGGCAGACUAGAGGUAUGCAGGGGAGAACGGAAUUCCUGGUGUAGCGGUGAAAUGCGCAGAUAUCAGGAGGAACACCGAUGGCGAAGGCAGAUCUCUGGGCCGUAACUGACGCUGAGGAGCGAAAGCGUGGGGAGCAAACAGG